Molecule: long non-coding RNA, 273 nt
Organism: Penaeus monodon (black tiger shrimp)
Lineage: Eukaryota; Metazoa; Arthropoda; Malacostraca; Decapoda; Penaeidae
Exons: 2
Source: RefSeq, a predicted model, not a curated record
GGCCGCAGCAGUGGCUCUCCCUGACCCCACGAAACGGCACUUGGGAUACGGCUUGCACGGAGGAUACGGAGGAUACGGCCUCGGAGGAUUUGGCUUGGGAGGCUACGGAGGCUAUGGCUAUGGAUCCCACUAUCCUUAUUACGGAUCCUACUAUGGAUAGAUAACGAAGGACCAAGUAAACACCUUUAACAUGGACUUCGUUUCCUGCCAUUCAGCUGAUGAAAAAAUUUGUAUAUAUCACUUUAAACAUCAUCCAAUAAAGUUUUAACUCUA